AGCCGAAACCGCCGCAAGGCGGUCAGCAGGAAAUGACCUACCUGCUCUGAUGAUGGCAGGUCAAA
RNAcentral lists this non-coding RNA (65 nucleotides) under Ruminococcus bromii. RNAcentral also lists the same sequence under 1 other name. Lineage: Bacteria; Bacillati; Bacillota; Clostridia; Eubacteriales; Oscillospiraceae. The record is from RNAcentral.